AGUGGCGGACGGGUGAGUAACGCGUGAGAAUCUGCCUUGGGGUCGGGGACAACCACUGGAAACGGUGGCUAAUACCGGAUAAGCCGAUUGGUGAAAGAUUUAUUGCCCGAAGAGGAGCUCGCGUCUGAUUAGCUAGUUGUGAGGUAAGAGCUCACCAAGGCAGCGAUCAGUAGCUGGUCUGAGAGGACGAUCAGCCACACUGGGACUGAGACACGGCCCAGACUCCUACGGGAGGCAGCAGUGGGGAAUUUUCCGCAAUGGGCGAAAGCCUGACGGAGCAAGACCGCGUGAGGGAGGAAGGCUCUUGGGUUGUAAACCUCUUUUCUCAGGGAAGAAGCUCUGACGGUACCUGAGGAAUCAGCCUCGGCUAACUCCGUGCCAGCAGCCGCGGUAAUACGGAGGAGGCAAGCGUUAUCCGGAAUUAUUGGGCGUAAAGCGUCCGCAGGUGGCAAUUCAAGUCUGCUGUCAAAGCACGGGGCUUAACUCCGUAAAGGCAGUGGAAACUGAAUAGCUAGAGUGCCGUAGGGGUAGAGGGAAUUCCCGGUGUAGCGGUGAAAUGCGUAGAGAUCGGGAAGAACAUCGGUGGCGAAAGCGCUCUACUGGACGGCAACUGACACUCAGGGACGAAAGCUAGGGGAGCGAAUGGGAUUAGAUACCCC
This 659-nucleotide ribosomal RNA is filed under the name uncultured bacterium. Its description in RNAcentral is "bacterial SSU rRNA". It matches the Rfam family "Bacterial small subunit ribosomal RNA", at positions 94 to 788 of the family's 1533-position model. The record is from RNAcentral.